Molecule: long non-coding RNA, 2237 nt
Organism: Numida meleagris (helmeted guineafowl)
Lineage: Eukaryota; Metazoa; Chordata; Aves; Galliformes; Numididae
Source: Ensembl
CAACAGGCUUCCUACACAGAGGGCAGAGACCAAAGAAAGAGCAUGCCAGCCACCCACUUAUCUUGGCCACCACACGCAACUCCCCACACCCAAACUUUUCGGAGCUAUACAUACCCACUCUAUCCCCACUGGCAGGCUCCUGCCUGCUUGAACCCAACAGUCCAGUGCAGUCACUAGAACUACGCAGCAGCCACUCCAUGCCGGGUUCUCGCCCCACGAAGGCUAGUAGUUCCCAGAAUGGCGAAGGGCUGAGAGCAGCCAGCUCGACUCCGCUCUUGCAGCGCCACAUCACCAACAGAACAACGCCCCCAAACGCUACGAGCACAAAACACCACCACCACGAGGUCCCCGUACCACCUAUUUGUACCCUGGCCCAUACUUCUGGCCAAUGAGAAGGACCCUCUCUCAGCCGUGCCGCUCUCUCAGCCAAUCGCGAAGCCCGUGUCAGGGGCCGGGCAGAACGCAGGGGCUGGCUCGGCGCGGAGGCCGGGCGGUUCACACCUCGGGCCGCCUCCUCCCGCUGGGUGGGUCUCGUACCCCAGGAAGCGCCCAGGAGGUGUUAUCUGCUAUUUACUACCUUAUUAGACUGUAGUUAGUGGCUAAUGAACGCCCUUCUGACUGCAGGAGUCGCCUCACGGCUCCUUCGCACCUUGCGCCCCGCCCACUCCGGCUGGGCAGCCAAUGGCAGCACUGUGCGCUCCCCGCUCAGCUGAGAGUACCCAAUCGGCGGGCGCCGCGGGCCGCUCUGCGGCUAUAAAAGAGCCCGCUCAGGCUGGCGGCCCAGACUUCGUUCUGCUGUGGUUGAGCCGUAGCGCUCUUGAUGUCAUGCAGUGGUCGUGCUGCGAGUGGGCCUAUGGCUGCUUCGCCCUUCUGGGAGAUGCUGGUGCUAUUGGCUCAGGAGCCGGGUGUGGAGUGGCUGAAGUUGGUCCUCGCUGGGCAGGCUGCUGUUUCGCUGCCGUGCGGUCAAGGAACAGGGUGGACAACGGCGCGUAGGACCCGGCCGGCGGCGGGGCGAUCCAGGGGCUCCGGGCGGUGCGGGGAGCGCGGUGCGGCGGUGGGAGGGGAAGCUGGUCCUCCUUGGAAACGCUCGCUGGGGCCUCAGCCUCUGAAGACAUUGUCAUUGUUGGAGUCAUCAGGGGAUAUUAGGCUUUGGCAAGCCUACUUUGAGGGGCUGAAGAAAUUCCUCGCCUUUAGGAAAGACAUGGGAAUGCCUGCAGCCUGGCCCAUUCCAGAGGAUCAAGUUAGAGGGUUUUUAGCUGUGGAGUCUCUUUACUCAUCCUCAAAGACACUGAUGUAUGUGGCAGCGCUAUCUUACUUAUCAAGACUGUCUGGUAACCAUGACCCUCUGGAAGAUGCUAUAACCCGUUGUAUAGUAAUGGGGCUGAGACGUCAAGUGGGCAUCCUGAGGGAAAAAUAUGCUCCUAUAACAAUUGAGAUGCUACGAUCUCUCUUAGGAGCUCUGGAGUGUGUGUGUGUAUCCCAUUAUGAGUGCUUACUGUUCCGUGCAUUGUUCACUGUGGCUUUUUUUGGGGCACUUCGAAUAGGAGAGAUGGUGGCAAAGCACCGUAAUGUACUGCAGCCUGAACUGCUACACCUGAGGGACAUGCAGGUGACAGAAAACAGAGUGGUGUUUCACCUGCAUAACUGUCCCAUUGAGUGGGAGAGACCCAUCAUCAGCCUUGCUCUGUCUGGAGAGCCAUGGGUGUGCCCUGUCUUGGCCCUCCAGAGCUAUGUGGCUGUGCAUUCUGGACUUGAAGGGCCACUCUUUGUGCACGGGGACAACAGGCCUGUAACAAAGAGGGAAUUUCUGACUGUUCUCAGAUGGGCCCUUAGGCUGCUGGGGCUACCCCCAGAGCAGUACGGCGUGCACUCCUUCUGGCUGGGGACUAUCAUCACUGCUGCACGCUGCGGAUAUCCCAGGGAAGAUGUCACUCGCCUGGCAAGGUGGCCAUGUGUGUUCCCAGGGAAGUCAUAGCCAUGGAGACAGUGCGCAAAAGAAGCUAGUGGUUUCUUUCUGUAGGAGUUUUAACAACAUAGUUUGUAGUCCUUGGCAGUAAUUUAAUGUUACCAUCUGUAAUGAAUGUUCUACCUCACUGUGGAUAUGGUCUAUGAAGUUCUCUUGCAUUUGUUUUCACCGUCUGUACUGUUGAGGGUGGGGGAUUGUCAAACUUGCUGUGCCCGCAAAUGCUUUUAUCUUGUGUAACUUCAGUUAAUAAAUACUUCCUUUUAAAAAAGCA